RNAcentral lists this ribosomal RNA (253 nucleotides) under uncultured bacterium. RNAcentral's name for it is "partial 16S ribosomal RNA". It matches the Rfam family "Bacterial small subunit ribosomal RNA", at positions 524 to 776 of the family's 1533-position model. The record is from RNAcentral.
UACAGAGGGUGCAAGCGUUAAUCGGAAUUACUGGGCGUAAAGCGCGCGUAGGCGGUUGUGUAAGUUGGAGGUGAAAUCCCCGGGCUUAACCUGGGCAUUGCCUUCAAAACUGCAUGGCUAGAGUACGGGAGAGGGGGGUAGAAUUCCAGGUGUAGCGGUGAAAUGCGUAGAGAUCUGGAGGAAUACCGAUGGCGAAGGCAGCCCCCUGGCCUGCUACUGACGCUGAAGUGCGAAAGCAUGGGGAGCAAACAGG